RNAcentral lists this long non-coding RNA (4386 nucleotides) under Heterocephalus glaber (naked mole-rat). RNAcentral's name for it is "lncRNA (ENSHGLG00100033250.1)". Lineage: Eukaryota; Metazoa; Chordata; Mammalia; Rodentia; Bathyergidae. The record is from RNAcentral.
AGGGACCAAGCCUGGAUGAGAAAAUGCUGAACUUGAGCACAGGCCUUGGGGAUUGUGAAGAAAUGACUAAGGGUACUGAUGUCCUGGGUUAAGCUUUCCACUGAGGUCCUUCCUGACUGGAUCUGGAGUCCCAUGGCAUGGGGGAUGCCUGUUCUGUGAUGGCCCAGGGAUUAUGUACAGUGGCUCUGGCGGGCCAACACCUCAACUCUUCACUCCUCCUUGCUCUCCAGGAGCUCCCAGCUCUCCCACUUGUACCACAGAGAAUGAUUAAUAAGCAUUGAAUAAAAAUUGACUAAGGGAUUAUCUCUGAGUAACUGCACUGAUGUUAUGUAAAUGUCGGAAAUCGGCAUGCAUUUCUGAUCAAAGCUGUUUUGUCUGAUCAGCGCCCUGGAAGCAUUUGGGACUUCUAUGGAAGAUUUGAAACUGGUCACUGUUGGUAUGGAUUGAUAAGGAUUUCAGUCUGCUCAUCUGUGUGCUAGAGAGAUUGUAUAUAUGUAUAUGUGUGUGUUUAUAUAAAGGGGAUAAGUCUUUGGAGUUGAAGGACAUUCAUGUAUUUAUUUGGUAGAAUACAGAGUACAGCAUAUUUAAACCCUGGUAUUUAAAUAAGUAAGAACAUUUCCAUUUAUCAAGGAGUGUCUUGAACUUAUUUGGCAAAAUUUCAAAGGAUAUUUCAGUUGUCUUUAAUUAAAAUGAUACUGUCUUAGUCACUUUCCCAUUGCUGAGACAAAAUAUCUGACACUUGCAAUUUAAAGGAGAGGUUUGUUUUGGCUCAUGUUUUCAAUCCAUAGUUGGCCAAUGCAGAAAUGGCAUGGUAGAAACAGUGAAGGAAAGUUGCUCAAGUCAUGGUGGCCAGGAAGCAGAGAAAGGAGGAUCUAAGAAGGAAGAUAAACUUCCAGGUUACGCCCCCAGUGACUCAACUCCAACCAGGUCCCAGCUCCUAACAGUGCAGUCAGUUGCUGAACUCAUUAGUGGAUGAAUCCACUGAUGAAUGUAGCACCCUGGUGGUCCAAUCACCUUCCAAAAGCCUCUCCUCUGAGUGUGUAAGGGUUUUAGGGGGACAUUCUAGAUCUAAACCAUAACACUACAUAGUAUUUCAAAUAUUUUCAAUCAGGUAGUUGGGAUGUAGAAGCUUGAGUAUCAUUCUUAGAGGUUGUUGAUAGACAGUGAAGUCCUUAAUAACUCAGUUCUGGCUCUACAGAAAGCUUGGCACUAAAGUCCUUGCUUCACUACCAAGAACAAGGCUGUUGUCAUCCUCUUUUUAGAAACAGAUGGUUUUCCCCCUGGUGAGAGUAGAAUUUUCAAGAAAUUAAAAAUGACUCAUACAAGUUUGAGAUGAAACCAUAUUCAAGCUUUUAUUCAAUUUGUUAAUUACUGAAGGAACAAGGAAGAGACUGCAAAGGUGGUUGUGAUUCUGGGAAUGUUUUAAAGAUCUAUAUUUUUAUUGAUAUUUUUAACCAGUGUUAAAAAUACUGGGCUUGAUUGAAAAACUUGGUUAAUGCCUGACAGGGCCAUAAAUUAUAAUCUUCAGUGUUAUGUUUUAUAGGAGACAAGUUAUUUAUAUCACUACUGGGCAAAAAUCUAUAGGUUACCAUGUAAUUUCACUAAGUUUAGAAAUGUUAGUCAGCAGUGAACAAUGAAUUGAGCAACCUACAAUUUCCUAUCAUGCAUAAUGUUUGGAAAGACCUAAAAUCAUCAUAUGACAUUGAAAGGCUAUGUCACCUUUUUGUCUUAUUUAUACAUUUUAAAUAAUUUUUAACAUUCAGUCUCUUAAAGUUUUAAAACAAAUCUAUUUCAAGACAUUAAUUUUAAAUUCAGGUUAUAGUAAUCCCACUUCAUUUUCAGAUAGCUAAUAAAAAGGUGUCCAAUAAAACAUAUUUUAGCUUUUAACCAAUGGGAUCAAUGUAAUAUGAUCCUAUAGGCCAAUUAUGGCAAAAGUUAGAAAAUGAAAAGUGCUUGUUUUAUAUGAAGGCUUUUAAUAGAGUACAUAAACAUGAACUCCUUGAAGACAGGCUUCGCAGGUAAUUCUUAUUUAUUCAGUAUUGAAUCACAGCCCCUAACUCAGAAUAGGUGGUAUGGCGUUUAAGAAGUUGAGGAACUAUCUAAUGACACUGACUGAAUUAAUGAAUAACAAUGUCAAAUCUAUGAACAUUCCAGCUGUCUAAUAGAAAAUCCUUUGCCUCAUUUGUUUGACCAGGUGAACACCAAUUGUGUGCUGGCUCUGGACACUGAUUACACCUUCUGCCUGACUCACAGGACUUAGGCUCAAUCUCUGCAGAAGGCUUUUACUCAUCUCAUUCAAGCUAUGGGGACAUGUCUUCACCCAGGAAGGUUAGAAGAGACUCUGGCGAAGAGCUAGAAGUCGCAUAGUGCCAGAUCUGGAUGUGAAGGAGGAAUUCCAGGACUGCUUCCAAAAGUGACAAGAACAAUGGGAAAAUGAUAAUGAAAGAUAUGACUCUGACAAAGAAGACCUGAAUUCCCAGGAGAAUUUGCGUUCAUUAAGUAAGACAAAUACGUUUUCAUCAAAGGUAAAACCAAAAGGAGAGGGCCCUCUGCUUACUGAUGGUAGAUGAUACCUGGAUCAUUGACUCAGCUCUCUGGGGAAUAGGUAUCUAUUAUAUUGUCCUCACCACAGCGAUUUCUCAAGUGUGUGUCCUUCUGUUGUUGAAGAUGACCAAAAUAGGGUCUUGAAGGAGUGGGACUUUUGCACCUAUAAGAAAACCUUUUCAGUGCUACUCUACUCUGGAAAUUAAAUUCAUUUUGACAUUUACGUUGUUUUGUAUUACUAAGAGAGGUGCAAAAUAAUUUCAAUGAAGUGUGAAGCACCUUUAGGUUCACUGAGGUGGACUUUUUCUGUGAUAGCAAUAGCAUGGUGCAGUGUGCCACACUUUGGAAAAAUAGAGGACUGUGAAAUACUUGACAAAACCUCUACCUUCAACACACUCUUUUUCUGUGUAGUUACUGCCAGGGACAGAACACAAGAAAGGGAAACUCAUUUGCAUCUUGUGGGUGCCUUGCAUUUCUUUUUCUUACACAGUCAACUGGAGCUUUGGGACUUCUGCAGUGGUGCUGCCCUCACACUUACUUCUUGUAAGUUCUGCCCAUCAGUACCAAGAGCAAGUACUGCUUCUGCCACUUCCCCAGUUCAACUGCUUCUUUCACUGGCAGGAAUGUUGCUUUAAAAACAGCAUUAUUGCUUGGUUAUUUUCUCCCCCAAAAAUUUGCCCACUUCUAUGUUAUAUAUAAGGUGACCACAUCAAGGUCACCGUCACAUCUCUUGACAUUUUUAGUUUUUGUAUUUUCUUACUAAAUGUUAAGAUUUGGCCUAUCUAGGAUGAGUUUGGAUACAUUUUAAAGUUUGCAUUUUCUACAGAAUAUCUUACAACAGUCCUUAAAAGUAUGUUGGGAAAAUUAGCUAAUUUAAUGAGGAUUUUCUUUUCUUAAUAUUUUAUGAAGCAGUUUGAUAUUAUAGCUACUUGAUAUCCUUUUGGAUAUGCUGUCCCAUAGGAAUUGUCUUGACUCUAGACUUGUAAGAGGUUACACUGAAAGAUAGGUAAGGAAAUUUAUCCCCAACACUCAUUUUAGAGGUGAAGAAACAGGACAAGAAAGCUGAAGCAAUUUGUCCAUGAUCAUACAACCCUGUAGCCACAGAGAAAAGACUACAAGACAGGCUUCUCUCUCCUAGUAUUAGAAUUUUCACUUUGUCCUUAUAAAUCCUUGGUGUAUGUAAUAUGGAAAAGAUAAUGUAGGGUCUUCAGAAAAAAAUCAUCUAAGCUUUACUUUAAUUUGGCAUUGAUUUGAUUCAAUGAGCAAUUUCCAAAUGACUUGGCAUCUUGAUAAUUUACUAUAUUUCUCCUUGUUACUUCUUGAUGUUGUUAACUAAAUCACAUUUCAUUCAUUCAGAGACAUUUUAGAGUUAUAAGUGAGUCUUCAAUAAAUUGCAGCCAUCUAGAAUAGUUCAUCUCUUUGCAAAAUGUAAUCAGGUUGAUUCUGAAGUACCACUUGAACAAUGUCUCAGAUUUAAAUUGUAUUAUGGCUUCUCAUUUAGACAUGUCACUUUUUGUAAGUAAAUGAGUUGUACUUGAAUGACUUUUUCAACAUGUCUUGUAAGAAUGGGGAGGGCUUGUAUUGAUGUGAUAAAUACUGCCUCAUUUCUUUUUCCCCAUCCCAAUUUAUUAACAAUCUCCACAUAACAAUUUUAAUUAUCUUCAAGUUAAUUUUUAGGGAUUUGUUUUAUCAGAUGAUGUGAUAAACUAGUUUUCAGGAUUAGGUCAACUCUGUAACACUCAUUUAGUUUUUUAGUCAGAUUCAUGAUGCAUUAAUAGGAAUCCUCCUACACUUGAUCUUAGCCAAAAGGCCAAGAAGUGGUUAACAGGAAUCCUAAGGGAC